Molecule: ribosomal RNA, 620 nt
Filed under: bacterium
Lineage: Bacteria
Also listed under: 1 other name
Description: bacterial SSU rRNA
Rfam family: Bacterial small subunit ribosomal RNA
Source: RNAcentral
GCUUGCUGGGUGGAUCAGUGGCGAACGGGUGAGUAACACGUGAGCAACCUGCCCUGGACUCUGGGAUAAGCGCUGGAAACGGCGUCUAAUACUGGAUAUGAGAUGCAACCGCAUGGUUAGUGUCUGGAAAGAUUUUUCGGUCUGGGAUGGGCUCGCGGCCUAUCAGCUUGUUGGUGAGGUAAUGGCUCACCAAGGCGUCGACGGGUAGCCGGCCUGAGAGGGUGACCGGCCACACUGGGACUGAGACACGGCCCAGACUCCUACGGGAGGCAGCAGUGGGGAAUAUUGCACAAUGGGCGGAAGCCUGAUGCAGCAACGCCGCGUGAGGGAUGACGGCCUUCGGGUUGUAAACCUCUUUUAGCAAGGAAGAAGCGAAAGUGACGGUACUUGCAGAAAAAGCGCCGGCUAACUACGUGCCAGCAGCCGCGGUAAUACGUAGGGCGCAAGCGUUAUCCGGAAUUAUUGGGCGUAAAGAGCUCGUAGGCGGUUUGUCGCGUCUGCUGUGAAAUCCCGAGGCUCAACCUCGGGCCUGCAGUGGGUACGGGCAGACUAGAGUGCGGUAGGGGAGAUUGGAAUUCCUGGUGUAGCGGUGGAAUGCGCAGAUAUCAGGAGGAACACCG